This is a non-coding RNA of Elaeis guineensis (African oil palm), 1617 nucleotides long. The record is from RefSeq and is a predicted model, not a curated record. NCBI's taxonomy places the organism in Eukaryota, Viridiplantae, Streptophyta, Magnoliopsida, Arecales, Arecaceae.
ACAGCCCAGUCAGGACGGUUAAAAAAAUCAUGGCCGUGGGUUUUGGUCUAUUUACGUCGCAUCAGCGCCUGGAAGGUCGUUCUUUUGAUUAGCAGAGCUAUGGCUGAGGCGGCGACGGCGUGGAGCAGGGGGACGGUCCCUCGCGUGCUUGAGAUCGUGAGCACGAGGCUCCCCCAGCGAGACGUCUGCGCGCUCUUACUUGUCAGCCCCUGGUGCUACCGUUCCCUCCUCUCUCACCCUAUUCUCUGGCAGGUCCUUGAUCUUCAUGAGAUGAGUCAAGCAGGAGAGCGACUGAUUUCUGCACUUUCACUGGCCAGAUAUAGACAAAUUAAAAAGAUAAACCUUGAAUUUGCACGGGAUGUUGAAGAUGAACAUCUUAUUCUCCUUAGAAGCAAGGGAAUAGAGUCACUUCAAGGCUUGGAGUCUCUAAAUCUGAAUGGCUGUCAGAAGAUUUCAGAUAGAGGAAUUGAAGCUAUAACGAAUGUUUGUCCAAAUCUGAGGGCUUUAUCUAUCUAUUGGAAUGUUAGGAUAACUGACUUGAGCAUAAAGCACAUUGCGAAGAACUGUAAACAUAUAAUUGAUUUGAACUUGAGUGGUUGUAAGAAUGUUACAGAUCAAAGUUUGCGUCUUAUAGCUGAAAGUUACCAAGACUUGGAGGAAUUGAACAUUACGAGGUGCAUCAAAUUAACAGAUGGUGGAUUACAACAGAUACUUCUAAAAUGUUCUUUGCUCCAAAGUUUGAAUCUAUAUGCCCUUUCCAGUUUUACUGAUAAAGCUUAUGAAAGGAUAGCAUAUUUAUCACAUCUUAGAUUCUUGGAUCUUUGUGGUGCCCAGAAUCUUUCUGAUCAAGGCCUUUCAUGUAUAGCAAGGUGCAAAGAUCUGGUUUCUUUGAACUUGACAUGGUGUGUACGUGUUACUGACAUGGGAGUAAUGGCAAUUGCUCAAGGUUGCAGGUCUCUUGAAUUUCUCAGUUUGUUUGGAAUAGUUGGGGUAACUGAUACAAGUCUGCAGGCUCUGUCCGAGUUUUGCUCAAAUACCCUUACAACCCUCGAUGUAAAUGGAUGCAUUGGCAUUAAGAGAAGGAGCCGCGGUGACUUGCUCCAAUUAUUUCCGCACUUGAAGUGUUUCAAAGUGCACAGUUAACAUUGCGCUGGAACUCAGCACCCGAUAUUGUCCUGUUCAUGAUGAGCAUCUUUUUGUAGUUUCCAUCAGCUGACGUUGAUGCGAUACUGGAUAGCAAUUAGUAGCAGUAUCAUCAAGGUGUAAAUUGAUUUUCUCCAGCUGGUGUGGACUCAGAUCAAGCACCUGUCAAGACUAUUUCAUAAUCUUCGCCAUGCAUAAUGCUAGUAUGUGCUGGAUUGCUAUUCACUUAUCGACAUCGCUUGUAUCCAGAAUUAUUGGGGGCUGCCAAGUAGAUUUUGUCAUAUAGAUCUGAACUCACGGAGUUAUCGCGUUGUUAUGUUGCGGGAGUAGGAUAAUAAUGUUCUGUAAACAUAACUUUCUUGAUGUCAUUUAUUAUGUCAACAUCAAGAUGGUAUCACCUUAUAAUGAUGGCAUAAUAUUUAUGUGAGAAUAGGAUUUCCUUGCAUCAUUCACAUUAUGGUGUGAUGCUGCCAA